GGGACACGUGGUAUCCUGUCUGAAUAUGGGGGGACCAUCCUCCAAGGCUAAAUACUCCUGACUGACCGAUAGUGAACCAGUACCGUGAGGGAAAGGCGAAAAGAACCCCGGCGAGGGGAGUGAAAAAGAACCUGAAACCGUGUACGUACAAGCAGUGGGAGCACGCUUAGGCGUGUGACUGCGUACCUUUUGUAUAAUGGGUCAGCGACUUAUAUUCUGUAGCAAGGUUAACCGAAUAGGGGAGCCGAAGGGAAACCGAGUCUUAACUGGGCGUUAAGUUGCAGGGUAUAGACCCGAAACCCGGUGAUCUAGCCAUGGGCAGGUUGAAGGUUGGGUAACACUAACUGGAGGACCGAACCGACUAAUGUUGAAAAAUUAGCGGAUGACUUGUGGCUGGGGGUGAAAGGCCAAUCAAACCGGGAGAUAGCUGGUUCUCCCCGAAAGCUAUUUAGGUAGCGCCUCGUGAAUUCAUCUCCGGGGGUAGAGCACUGUUUCGGCAAGGGGGUCAUCCCGACUUACCAACCCGAUGCAAACUGCGAAUACCGGAGAAUGUUAUCACGGGAGACACACGGCGGGUGCUAACGUCCGUCGUGAAGAGGGAAACAACCCAGACCGCCAGCUAAGGUCCCAAAGUCAUGGUUAAGUGGGAAACGAUGUGGGAAGGCCCAGACAGCCAGGAUGUUGGCUUAGAAGCAGCCAUCAUUUAAAGAAAGCGUAAUAGCUCACUGGUCGAGUCGGCCUGCGCGGAAGAUGUAACGGGGCUAAACCAUGCACCGAAGCUGCGGCAGCGACGCUUAUGCGUUGUUGGGUAGGGGAGCGUUCUGUAAGCCUGUGAAGGUGUGCUGUGAGGCAUGCUGGAGGUAUCAGAAGUGCGAAUGCUGACAUAAGUAACGAUAAAGCGGGUGAAAAGCCCGCUCGCCGGAAGACCAAGGGUUCCUGUCCAACGUUAAUCGGGGCAGGGUGAGUCGACCCCUAAGGCGAGGCCGAAAGGCGUAGUCGAUGGGAAACAGGUUAAUAUUCCUGUACUUGGUGUUACUGCGAAGGGGGGACGGAGAAGGCUAUGUUGGCCGGGCGACGGUUGUCCCGGUUUAAGCGUGUAGGCUGGUUUUCCAGGCAAAUCCGGAAAAUCAAGGCUGAGGCGUGAUGACGAGGCACUACGGUGCUGAAGCAACAAAUGCCCUGCUUCCAGGAAAAGCCUCUAAGCAUCAGGUAACAUCAAAUCGUACCCCAAACCGACACAGGUGGUCAGGUAGAGAAUACCAAGGCGCUUGAGAGAACUCGGGUGAAGGAACUAGGCAAAAUGGUGCCGUAACUUCGGGAGAAGGCACGCUGAUAUGUAGGUGAAGUCCCUCGCGGAUGGAGCUGAAAUCAGUCGAAGAUACCAGCUGGCUGCAACUGUUUAUUAAAAACACAGCACUGUGCAAACACGAAAGUGGACGUAUACGGUGUGACGCCUGCCCGGUGCCGGAAGGUUAAUUGAUGGGGUUAGCCGCAAGGCGAAGCUCUUGAUCGAAGCCCCGGUAAACGGCGGCCGUAACUAUAACGGUCCUAAGGUAGCGAAAUUCCUUGUCGGGUAAGUUCCGACCUGCACGAAUGGCGUAAUGAUGGCCAGGCUGUCUCCACCCGAGACUCAGUGAAAUUGAACUCGCUGUGAAGAUGCAGUGUACCCGCGGCAAGACGGAAAGACCCCGUGAACCUUUACUAUAGCUUGACACUGAACAUUGAGCCUUGAUGUGUAGGAUAGGUGGGAGGCUUAGAAGUGUGGACGCCAGUCUGCAUGGAGCCGACCUUGAAAUACCACCCUUUAAUGUUUGAUGUUCUAACGUUGACCCGUAAUCCGGGUUGCGGACAGUGUCUGGUGGGUAGUUUGACUGGGGCGGUCUCCUCCUAAAGAGUAACGGAGGAGCACGAAGGUUGGCUAAUCCUGGUCGGACAUCAGGAGGUUAGUGCAAUGGCAUAAGCCAGCUUGACUGCGAGCGUGACGGCGCGAGCAGGUGCGAAAGCAGGUCAUAGUGAUCCGGUGGUUCUGAAUGGAAGGGCCAUCGCUCAACGGAUAAAAGGUACUCCGGGGAUAACAGGCUGAUACCGCCCAAGAGUUCAUAUCGACGGCGGUGUUUGGCACCUCGAUGUCGGCUCAUCACAUCCUGGGGCUGAAGUAGGUCCCAAGGGUAUGGCUGUUCGCCAUUUAAAGUGGUACGCGAGCUGGGUUUAGAACGUCGUGAGACAGUUCGGUCCCUAUCUGCCGUGGGCGCUGGAGAACUGAGGGGGGCUGCUCCUAGUACGAGAGGACCGGAGUGGACGCAUCACUGGUGUUCGGGUUGUCAUGCCAAUGGCACUGCCCGGUAGCUAAAUGCGGAAGAGAUAAGUGCUGAAAGCAUCUAAGCACGAAACUUGCCCCGAGAUGAGUUCUCCCUGACUCCUUGAGAGUCCUGAAGGAACGUUGAAGACGACGACGUUGAUAGGCCGGGUGUGUAAGCGCAGCGAUGCGUUGAGCUAACCGGUACUAAUGAACCGUGAGGCUUAACCUUACAACGCCGAAGGUGUUU
This 2546-nucleotide ribosomal RNA is filed under the name Escherichia coli. RNAcentral describes it as "partial 23S ribosomal RNA". It matches the Rfam family "Bacterial large subunit ribosomal RNA", at positions 419 to 2925 of the family's 2925-position model. Lineage: Bacteria; Pseudomonadati; Pseudomonadota; Gammaproteobacteria; Enterobacterales; Enterobacteriaceae. The record is from RNAcentral.